Molecule: long non-coding RNA, 353 nt
Organism: Cyprinus carpio (common carp)
Lineage: Eukaryota; Metazoa; Chordata; Actinopteri; Cypriniformes; Cyprinidae
Exons: 3
Source: RefSeq, a predicted model, not a curated record
UCAGCAGAACAGCGUGAUGAGGGAGGAGGUAGGAGAGAUCCAGAGACUGUCAUAUUGUGUCUUAUUCAGUGUGUGAUCAGUCAUGUGUUGUGAACUGACAGCAGGUUUUUCUGUCUACCCUCACAGCUCUCUCUGAUUGGUACACAGGACUACACAGGACUCAGUCUCAAACUGAGCCAGUUUAUGAGGAAAUUAAUCACAGACACAAUCUAUUUACUCAUAGAGGGAGUCUCAUCACUGAAGACGCUGAUGAGCUUCUCUCAGAGAGGGUGAAUGAGAUCACACCAGGAAUCUAUCAGGAUAUCUUCACUGGUGGAACGAUACCAGAUUGUGAGACAGGUGCUGAUGCUCUU